This 72-nucleotide transfer RNA is filed under the name Glossobalanus marginatus. RNAcentral's name for it is "tRNA-Ala". It matches the Rfam family "tRNA". From Rfam's summary of the family: Transfer RNA (tRNA) molecules are approximately 80 nucleotides in length. Lineage: Eukaryota; Metazoa; Hemichordata; Enteropneusta; Ptychoderidae. The record is from RNAcentral.
GUGGGCUUAGUUUAAUGAUAAAAUCUCUGUUUUGCAUACAGGAGAUCUUGGGUUUGACUCCCAGAGCCCACA